AACGAACGCUGGCGGCAGGCUUAACACAUGCAAGUCGAACGCUCUCUUCGGAGAGAGUGGCAGACGGGUGAGUAACGCGUGGGAAUCUACCCAUCCCUACGGAACAACUCCGGGAAACUGGAGCUAAUACCGUAUACGCCCUUCGGGGGAAAGAUUUAUCGGGGAUGGAUGAGCCCGCGUUGGAUUAGCUAGUUGGUGGGGUAAUGGCCUACCAAGGCGACGAUCCAUAGCUGGUCUGAGAGGAUGAUCAGCCACACUGGGACUGAGACACGGCCCAGACUCCUACGGGAGGCAGCAGUGGGGAAUAUUGGACAAUGGGCGCAAGCCUGAUCCAGCCAUGCCGCGUGAGUGAUGAAGGCCCUAGGGUUGUAAAGCUCUUUCAACGGUGAAGAUAAUGACGGUAGCCGUAGAAGAAGCCCCGGCCAACUUCGUGCCAGCAGCCGCGGUAAUACGAAGGGGGCUAGCGUUGUUCGGAAUUACUGGGCGUAAAGCGCACGUAGGCGGAUUGAUCAGUUGGGGGUGAAAUCCCAGGGCUUAACCCUGGAACUGCCUUCAAUACUG
RNAcentral lists this ribosomal RNA (561 nucleotides) under uncultured bacterium. RNAcentral describes it as "bacterial SSU rRNA". It matches the Rfam family "Bacterial small subunit ribosomal RNA", at positions 28 to 635 of the family's 1533-position model. The record is from RNAcentral.